AUCAAGCAUAAGUAUACUAGAUGCCAUGUAGCGUAAUCUCUAUCAGUACAUCUUAAAAAAUAAGAGCAUGUUUGGUUAGGGGAAUAGGAAUGCAUUCCUCCCCAAAUCAACGGGCCCACCACCAAACGCUGAUUAGGGAUUCCAUUCCCUAUUCUUUUUUUCUUUUUCAUUUUUUGCAAGCUUCAACAAUCUUCUCCUACGUUUCCCUUCCAUUGAUUCAUCAGCUUGACAGGUGAUUACCAGUUUCAAAGAAGCUCGCACUUCCUUGUUCAUUUUACAGGCUUCUACUCUCACUCAACCCUUCAUUAGUACUCUAUCCAAAUUGCUUACUAAAUCAUUGAUACAAUUUUUCAAUAGUUUGAGUUGUUGGACAGUCCAUUCAUCCAAAACCUCAUAUUUUGCUACAGACUUGGCAUCCAUGGUUUUUUCAGGUUGAAACAUUGCUCCCCUUUGGUGGUGUAUUACCAAACUUCCAGUGUAAUUGACUAAAUCUAUCAGAAUUACGCAACAACAUCAUUUCAGCUGUGAAGAAGUCGGCAGCACUUAACCGUCCUGGCGCUGAAAACAUGAAAGUAAGGCAACUAUCAGAUGCCAUACAUGAUGAGGUUGGGUAAGUGGACCUUGUUGUCAAAGUUAUUUAUGACUUUAAACUUAAGAACUUCAUUUAUAUGUGUAUAUAUGCAUAUAAGAGUGAAAAUUAAGAAUCCAUAUUGGAUUUCUUAGUUGAAAUAAUGUGUGUUCCCGAAUAAAAUGCUUGCAUCUUUCUUUAUGGUGUGUUUUAUUUAUGAGAAACCUGGUUAUUAAAAAUUUCAGCAUUGGGAAUAAUAAGAUAUGAAUAUAAGUAUAAAUUGGGAGCAGUUUGUGAGACGAAUAUCAACUCAGAGUUCCGUUAGCUAUUCAACAGUAUGUUAGAUUUUUCACUUAAUCUUCACAUUUGCUUCACCAGCUAUAAGUUCUUGUUGGUCGUUUCCAUGUAGUCAAUAAUGUUGAUGUUAAUGUGACACUUCAAAUUUUUAUAGUGAUUAGGAACAAAGUGAUGGGCCAGAUUUCAGAUAGUCUCUGGGAAAUAAUAAGAUCGGAAGGUAGCAUGAGAAUUGAAAUUACAGAAACAGUUGUUUCCCACAGAAAUAAUAAUGAGAGUAAACUUGCAAGUUGUUUCCCAUAGCCAUCGUGAUGUAAAUGUUGCACUAUAAAUGGAUCAGUCGUGAACCACUGAGACGGUAUACCUCUUUUUCUGCUCUAAUGGCCUUUCCUUUUUGUUUUCAGUUAGAGAGGGAGCCUUUUAUCUGCUAAUUGUAAUAACCCGGUUCCAUAUUCCUUUUUGAUAAUUUUUUCUAUGCUAGCAUUCUUGAGAAUCAGCAAGGGGUUACUAAUAUUGUAAGAGGCUGUUUUACUAAAAUAACCAUUCUUAUUGUCAUCUGUUUGUUUUCACUAGUUCCUAAUCUCUGUUGCUUUAUUUGAUUGUUACUAAUAACUGGUUUAUUUGAGCAUUUGAAAAUGCACAAGGUAGGGAUCUGAAAAUUGAAACUGUAUGUACCUCUUAUUUGAACGACUUUCUAAACUUUGUAUCGACUCUGUAUCUCCCAUUUUUUGGAGAAAUUUACCUUAAUUCCAGCAGCAAACAGGCUGAUUUUCCAA
Molecule: long non-coding RNA, 1638 nt
Organism: Gossypium raimondii (Peruvian cotton)
Lineage: Eukaryota; Viridiplantae; Streptophyta; Magnoliopsida; Malvales; Malvaceae
Exons: 4
Source: RefSeq, a predicted model, not a curated record